Molecule: ribosomal RNA, 487 nt
Filed under: Nematostella vectensis (starlet sea anemone)
Lineage: Eukaryota; Metazoa; Cnidaria; Anthozoa; Actiniaria; Edwardsiidae
Description: Eukaryotic large subunit ribosomal RNA
Rfam family: Eukaryotic large subunit ribosomal RNA
Source: Rfam by way of RNAcentral
UUCCCUCCGAAGUUUCCCUCAGGAUAGCUGGAACUUACGGCAGUUUUAUCAGGUAAAGCGAAUGAUUAGAGGUCUUAGGGUUAAAACAACCUUAACCUAUUCUCAAACUUUAAAUUGGUAAGAAGUCCGACUUGCUUAAUUGAAGCCGGACAGUGAAUGCGAGUUCCUAGUGGGCCAUUUUUGGUAAGCAGAACUGGCGAUGCGGGAUGAACCGAACGCGCGGUUAAGGUGCCAAAGUCGACGCUCAUCAGACCCCACAAAAGGUGUUGGUUGCUCUAGACAGCAGGACGGUGGCCAUGGAAGUUGGAAUCCGCUAAGGAGUGUGUAACAACUCACCUGCCGAAGCAACUAGCCCUGAAAAUGUAUGGCGCUCAAGCGUCGCACCUAUACCGUGCCGUCGGAGCAGAUGCGAAGCUCCGACGAGUAGGAGGGCGUGGGGGUCGUGACGCAGCCUCUGGCGCGAGCCUGGGUGAAACGGCCUCCAGUG